This 429-nucleotide ribosomal RNA is filed under the name Chloroflexota bacterium. Its description in RNAcentral is "Chloroflexi bacterium partial 16S ribosomal RNA". It matches the Rfam family "Bacterial small subunit ribosomal RNA", at positions 355 to 776 of the family's 1533-position model. Lineage: Bacteria; Bacillati; Chloroflexota. The record is from RNAcentral.
UGGGGAAUAUUGCACAAUGGGCGCAAGCCUGAUGCAGCCAUGCCGCGUGUAUGAAGAAGGCCUUCGGGUUGUAACGCACUUUCAGCGGGGAGGAAGGCGAUAAGGUUAAUAACCUUGUCGAUUGACGUUACCCGCAGAAGGAGCACCGGCUAACUCCGUGCCAGCAGCCGCGGUAAUACGGAGGGUGCAAGCGUUAAUCGGAAUUACUGGGCGUAAAGCGCACGCAGGCGGUCUGUCAAGUCGGAUGUGAAAUCCCCGGGCUUAACCUGGGAACUGCAUUCGAAACUGGCAGGCUAGAGUCUUGUAGAGGGGGGUAGAAUUCCAGGUGUAGCGGUGAAAUGCGUAGAGAUCUGGAGGAAUACCGGUGGCGAAGGCGGCCCCCUGGACAAAGACUGACUCUCAGGUGCGAAAGCGUGGGGAGCAAACAGG